This 375-nucleotide ribosomal RNA is filed under the name uncultured bacterium. RNAcentral's name for it is "bacterial SSU rRNA". It matches the Rfam family "Bacterial small subunit ribosomal RNA", at positions 28 to 404 of the family's 1533-position model. The record is from RNAcentral.
GACGAACGCUGGCGGCGUGCUUAACACAUGCAAGUCGAGCGGUAAGGCCCUUUCGGGGGUACACGAGCGGCGAACGGGUGAGUAACACGUGGGUGACCUGCCCUCAGCUCUGGGAUAAGCCUGGGAAACUGGGUCUAAUACUGGAUAUGACUCCACGGUGCAUGUCGUGGGGUGGAAAGCCUUGUGCGGCUGAGGAUGGGCCCGCGGCCUAUCAGCUUGUUGGGGGGUGAUGGCCUACCAAGGCGACGACGGGUAGCCGGCCUGAGAGGGCGACCGGCCACACUGGGACUGAGACACGGCCCAGGACUCCUACGGGAGGCAGCAGUGGGGAAUCUUGCGCAAUGGGCGAAAGCCUGACGCAGCGACGCCGCGUGA